GUGAAUACGUUCCCGGGCCUUGUACACACCGCCCGUCACACCACGGGAGUCGGUCGCGCCUGAAGCCGGUGGCCUAUCAGUAAUGGGGGAGCCGUCUAUGGCGAGAUUGGUAACUGGGGUGAAGUCGUAACAAGGUAUC
This 139-nucleotide ribosomal RNA is filed under the name uncultured bacterium. RNAcentral's name for it is "partial 16S ribosomal RNA". It matches the Rfam family "Bacterial small subunit ribosomal RNA", at positions 1362 to 1500 of the family's 1533-position model. The record is from RNAcentral.